GAUGAACGCUGGCGGCGUGCCUAAUACAUGCAAGUAGAACGCUGAAGCUUGGUGCUUGCACCGAGCGGAUGAGUUGCGAACGGGUGAGUAACGCGUAGGUAACCUGCCUCUUAGCGGGGGAUAACUAUUGGAAACGAUAGCUAAUACCGCAUAAAAGUCGAUAUCGCAUGAUAUUGAUUUGAAAGGUGCAAUUGCAUCACUAAGAGAUGGACCUGCGUUGUAUUAGCUAGUUGGUGAGGUAACGGCUCACCAAGGCGACGAUACAUAGCCGACCUGAGAGGGUGAUCGGCCACACUGGGACUGAGACACGGCCCAGACUCCUACGGGAGGCAGCAGUAGGGAAUCUUCGGCAAUGGACGGAAGUCUGACCGAGCAACGCCGCGUGAGUGAAGAAGGUUUUCGGAUCGUAAAGCUCUGUUGUAAGAGAAGAACGAGUGUGAGAGUGGAAAGUUCACACUGUGACGGUAACUUACCAGAAAGGGACGGCUAACUACGUGCCAGCAGCCGCGGUAAUACGUAGGUCCCGAGCGUUAUCCGGAUUUAUUGGGCGUAAAGCGAGCGCAGGCGGUUAGAUAAGUCUGAAGUUAAAGGCUGUGGCUUAACCAUAGUACGCUUUGGAAACUGUUUAACUUGAGUGCAGAAGGGGAGAGUGGAAUUCCAUGUGUAGCGGUGAAAUGCGUAGAUAUAUGGAGGAACACCGGUGGCGAAAGCGGCUCUCUGGUCUGUAACUGACGCUGAGGCUCGAAAGCGUGGGGAGCAAACAGG
RNAcentral lists this ribosomal RNA (765 nucleotides) under uncultured Streptococcus sp. Its description in RNAcentral is "bacterial SSU rRNA". It matches the Rfam family "Bacterial small subunit ribosomal RNA", at positions 28 to 776 of the family's 1533-position model. Lineage: Bacteria; Bacillati; Bacillota; Bacilli; Lactobacillales; Streptococcaceae. The record is from RNAcentral.